CCUACGGGAGACAGCAGUGAGGAAUAUUGGUCAAUGGACGGGAGACUGAACCAGCCAAGCCGCGUGAGGGAUGAAGGUACAGAGUAUCGUAAACCUCUUUUGUCAGGGAACAAAGGCGGGUACGUGUCCCCGGAUGAGUGUACCUGAAGAAAAAGCAUCGGCUAACUCCGUGCCAGCAGCCGCGGUAAUACGGAGGAUGCGAGCGUUAUCCGGAUUUAUUGGGUUUAAAGGGUGCGCAGGCGGUCUGUUAAGUCAGCGGUAAAAGCCCGGGGUCAAACUCCGGCCCGCCGUUGAAACUGGCAGUCUCGAGUUGGGGAGAGGUAGGCGGAAUGCGCGGUGUAGCGGUGAAAUGCAUAGAUAUCGCGCAGAACUCCGAUUGCGAAGGCAGCAUGCCGGCUCCACACUGACGCUGAGGCACGAAAGCGUGGGUAUCGAACAGGAUUAGAUACCCUUGUAGUC
Molecule: ribosomal RNA, 459 nt
Filed under: uncultured bacterium
Lineage: Bacteria
Description: partial 16S ribosomal RNA
Rfam family: Bacterial small subunit ribosomal RNA
Source: RNAcentral